This 122-nucleotide small nuclear RNA is filed under the name Bombyx mori (domestic silkworm). Its description in RNAcentral is "Bm_190". It matches the Rfam family "U5 spliceosomal RNA". From Rfam's summary of the family: U5 RNA is a component of both types of known spliceosome. The record is from RNAcentral. Lineage: Eukaryota; Metazoa; Arthropoda; Insecta; Lepidoptera; Bombycidae.
AAUCUCUGGUUUCCCUUCAAAACGUAUAAAUCUUUCGCCUUUUACUAAAGAUUUCCGUGGAGGGGAACACUCAAAUGAGUCUAUAAUAUUUUUGAUGGUCUAUCUCUCGGGGUAGACCCUUU